RNAcentral lists this ribosomal RNA (449 nucleotides) under uncultured bacterium. RNAcentral's name for it is "bacterial SSU rRNA". It matches the Rfam family "Bacterial small subunit ribosomal RNA", at positions 330 to 798 of the family's 1533-position model. The record is from RNAcentral.
CCCAGACUCCUACGGGAGGCAGCAGUGGGGAAUAUUGCACAAUGGGGGAAACCCUGAUGCAGCAACGCCGCGUGAGUGAAGAAGUAUUUCGGUAUGUAAAGCUCUAUCAGCAGGGAAGAAGAAGGACGGUACCUGACUAAGAAGCCCCGGCUAACUACGUGCCAGCAGCCGCGGUAAUACGUAGGGGGCGAGCGUUAUCCGGAUUUACUGGGUGUAAAGGGAGCGUAGACGGUUUUUCAAGUCUGAAGUGAAAGCCCGCGGCUCAACUGCGGAACGGCUUUGGAAACUGAGGGACUAGAGUGCUGGAGGGGCAGGCGGAAUUCCUGGUGUAGCGGUGAAAUGCGUAGAUAUUAGGAGGAACACCAGUGGCGAAGGCGGCUUACUGGACUGUAACUGACACUGAGGCUCGAAAGCGUGGGGAGCAAACAGGAUUAGAUACCCCAGUACAC